RNAcentral lists this ribosomal RNA (424 nucleotides) under uncultured bacterium. RNAcentral's name for it is "partial 16S ribosomal RNA". It matches the Rfam family "Bacterial small subunit ribosomal RNA", at positions 359 to 775 of the family's 1533-position model. The record is from RNAcentral.
GAAUAUUGGACAAUGGGCGAAAGCCUGAUCCAGCCAUGCCGCGUGUGUGAAGAAGGUCUUCGGUUUGUAAAGCACUUUCCGUUGGGAGGAAGGGCAGUAAGCGAAUACCUUGCUGUCUUGACGUUACCGACAGAAUAAGCACCGGCUAACUCUGUGCCAGCAGCCGUUGUAAUACAGAGGGUGCAAGCGUUAACCGGAAUUACUGGGCGUAAAGCGCGCGUAGGUUGUUCGUUAAGUUGGAUGUGAAAUCCCCGGGAGCAACCUGGGAACUGCAUCCAAAACUGGCGAGCUAGAGUAGGGCAGAGGGUGGUGGAAUUUCCUGUGUAGAGGUGAAAUGCGUAGAUAUAGGAAGGAACACCAGUGGCGAAGGCGACCACCUGGGCUCAUACUGACACUGAGGUGCGAAAGCGUGGGGAGCAAACAG